CCAUCUCCCCCUGGGGCUGACGAGGUCCCUGCCCAGCACCUCCGGUCAGCUGGCCCCCACGACGCGAUGUGCCAGAGCAGUGCCCGGGCCCGGCCCCCGCUGAUGCACCACCCUGACCCCCGCCCGUCUCUCCCCCAGGGUGAACCAGCUGACGAUGCCGCCCGCAUCUGUGAAAGUCUGAGGUGGUGCCAUUGGGACAAUGAAGAACCCACACUCCCACCUCGUCUGGGAGGUGUCCUACAGCGUCCGGGACCGGCUGGGCUGCCCCAAAGCUUUCUGUGUGAUCCACGGCUAGGCACCCACCCUCUCUGGCCCAGGCCUGCUGAGUGGCCCUGGCAUCAAGAAGAGGCUGUGUCCUCAGUUACCCUGGAAGGAUGUGUGUGUUGGAGCCACACGGUUGGACAGAUUCCCAGCCCUAGGUUUGGACCGCAGGGCCCCUGGGGCCAAGGAAGAAGACAGCCCCAAGUGGGUGUCCGGGGAGAGCCUGGCCUGCCACCAGCUUAUGUGAUCUUGGGCAAGUCCCUGCCCUCCCUGGAACGAAGGGCCAGGGGGCUGGACUUUCCCACACAACUUUCUGGGCAAAGCACGAUCUGCAGCUUUGAAGACUCAACAGACCCUGGACCAUACAGAGAGCAGGUGGCCCAGGCCUCAGGGCGGCAGUCCCGGCUUUGAGACUCACGCGAGGGCCUGGUGUGCAGGGACCACUGCUCAGCUGGGCCUCGGACCUUGGGGAUAUUGGACUCAACGUGGCAAAUGAAGCUGGGCACCCAAGUCUCUGGGUACUCCCUGGAGGACACUGUCUCGGGUUGGCUCCCAGCCUGGAGGUCCCAGAUGGGGACUGUUCUGACAAGCUGGCAUCACCAGGGGUGAAGGCCCUGGCUGCAGCUGUACACCACCUGUGCCCCCAGGCUCAAGGUCUCUGGGAGGUGCACACCAGCCCACCUCUGCAGGGCUUCUCUCCCUGCCACCCACCCCCCAAGCCAGGAACCCACUCCUUCCCCGAGGCUGAGCUGAGCCUUUUCCAGGGGCAGGGCCCAGGAGACCAUUCCCAGAAUCCAUGGGGCAGUAGCCAGGGCUCUGGCUGCUGGAGGAAGCAGCUAUCCACAAAGCUUCCUGCCCCAGAGCUGAGGCUGAGGCCCCGGGAGAGGCCGGCCCCUACCCAAACACUGACUGCUGGCAUUCCACCAAGUGACCCCGGGGGCCAGGCCUUCGAUCACCCACCUCCCAUCCAUGCACACACCAGGAUGCAGCUGCCAACUUCACACCAGCCCCAACCCGCUUUGGGGGAGCUUAGCCCCUGCGUCACCCACUCCCUGCACUUCUGCUGCAAUCAAAGUGGUUCUGGUGCGGGGGGCGGGGCUUGUGGCCAAUAGGAGACCCCCAAGAGCCAGCUUGGACAAUGCUCUUCUUGCCCCUUAGUUACUGGCUGGCUGUGGCUUCAGUGGUGUGUAAGCUAGUGGAAUACUCACCCACCAAGCUCUGGGGUACCCCAAGGGCCUGACAAGAGGAUGGGGUGGGGGUGGUAUCCUCCAAAGACCAGCCUCCACCCCCACUCCAGCCUCAGCGGGGCCCCAGCGAUGUUUUCUUGUUGUACAAGAACCAGGUCCGAGUGUUGCCUCCUCUUCCUUCCGGAAGCCAAACUGCUCCUUUAUUUUUUAGAGCUGCUGAUUGUGAAUCUCAGAGUCUUAAGAGAGAAACCAAAUAUAUUCCUCUUGUAAAUGAAGAAAUAAACCUAUUUAAAUCA
This 1744-nucleotide small RNA is filed under the name Pan troglodytes (chimpanzee). Its description in RNAcentral is "retained intron". Lineage: Eukaryota; Metazoa; Chordata; Mammalia; Primates; Hominidae. The record is from RNAcentral.